This is an RNA transcript of Lagopus muta (rock ptarmigan), 8424 nucleotides long. It is a transcript of the gene named kelch like family member 14, with no coding region annotated. The record is from RefSeq and is a predicted model, not a curated record. The transcript is spliced from 10 exons. Lineage: Eukaryota; Metazoa; Chordata; Aves; Galliformes; Phasianidae.
GCGCUGCAAUGGCAGGAACGGGGUUCGGCGGGAUCCCGCUGAGGAGGAGGAGGAGGAGGAAGAGGAAGAGCGGGAUGCGGCCGGCGCGAGUCGGUGGCUGCGCAGUCCCCGCAGGUCGGAGGAGGGUUUAAAGGCAGGUGCGCCCGAGGCCGCUCGCCAUGUCCAGAUCCGGGGACAGGACCUCCACCUUCGACCCCAGCCACAGCGACAACCUGCUGCACGGCCUCAACCUGCUGUGGAGGAAGCAGCUCUUCUGCGACGUCACCCUGACGGCCCAGGGCCAGCAGUUCCACUGCCACAAGGCUGUGCUGGCCUCCUGCUCCCAAUACUUCCGAUCCCUCUUUUCCAGCGGCGGCGGCCACCCCCACGCCCUGGGGCUGGGGCCCGGCGCCCAGGACGGGCUCGGGGGAGCCCCCCCGAAGGAGCCGCCGCCGCCGCCGCAGGAGGAGCCGGGCACGCCGUCCUCCUCCCCCGAGGACAAGCUGCUGGCCAGCCCGCGGGCCAUCAACAACCUGGUGCUGCAGGGCUGCUCGUCCAUCGGGCUGCGCCUGGUGCUGGAGUACCUCUACACGGCUAACGUCACCCUCUCGCUGGACACGGUGGAGGAGGUGCUGUCGGUCAGCAAGAUUCUGCACAUCCCGCAGGUCACCAAGCUGUGCGUGCAGUUCCUCAACGACCAGAUCUCGGUGCAGAACUACAAGCAGGUGUGCAAGAUCGCCGCGCUGCACGGCCUGGAGGAGACCAAGAAGCUGGCCAACAAGUACCUGGUGGAAGACGUGCUGCUGCUCAACUUCGAGGAGAUGCGCGCCCUGCUCGACUCGCUGCCCCCCCCCGUCGAGUCGGAGCUGGCCCUCUUCCAGAUGUCCGUGCUCUGGCUGGAGCACGACCGGGAGACCCGCAUGCAGUACGCCCCGGACCUGAUGAAGCGCCUCCGCUUUGCCCUCAUCCCGGCGCCGGAGCUGGUGGAGCGGGUGCAGUCGGUAGAUUUCAUGCGCACCGACCCCGUGUGCCAAAAGCUGCUGCUGGACGCCAUGAACUACCACCUGAUGCCCUUCAGGCAGCACUGCCGGCAGAGCCUGGCCAGCAGAAUUCGCUCCAAUAAGAAAAUGCUGUUAUUGGUUGGAGGAUUGCCUCCUGGACCUGACCGGCUACCCAGCAAUUUGGUUCAGUACUAUGAUGAUGAAAAGAAGACAUGGAAAAUACUGACAAUUAUGCCAUAUAACAGUGCGCAUCAUUGCGUCGUGGAAGUGGAAAACUUCUUGUUUGUACUUGGAGGAGAAGACCAAUGGAACCCAAAUGGGAAGCACAGCACAAACUUUGUUAGCCGAUACGAUCCCAGGUUUAACAGCUGGAUACAACUUCCACCCAUGCAAGAGAGGAGAGCCAGCUUCUAUGCCUGCCGCCUGGACAAGAACUUAUAUGUAAUUGGUGGAAGAAAUGAAACUGGCUAUUUGUCCAGUGUGGAGUGCUACAACCUGGAGACAAAUGAGUGGCGUUAUGUGUCUUCCUUACCACAACCUUUGGCAGCCCAUGCAGGAGCCGUUCACAAUGGCAAGAUAUAUAUUUCAGGAGGUGUUCACAAUGGAGAAUAUGUCCCCUGGCUGUACUGCUAUGACCCUGUGAUGGACGUCUGGGCCCGAAAACAGGACAUGAACACAAAACGAGCCAUCCACACUUUGGCUGUAAUGAAUGACCGACUGUAUGCCAUUGGAGGAAACCAUUUGAAAGGUUUCUCCCACCUCGAUGUAAUGCUUGUGGAAUGCUAUGACCCUAAAGGUGACCAGUGGAAUAUCCUCCAGACUCCCAUUCUGGAGGGCCGCAGCGGUCCUGGCUGUGCAGUUCUUGAUGACAGUAUUUACCUUGUAGGAGGAUACAGCUGGAGCAUGGGCGCCUACAAAUCUUCUACUAUUUGCUAUAGCCCUGAGAAGGGGACUUGGACAGAGCUAGAAGGAGAUGUUGCUGAGCCACUUGCAGGUCCUGCUUGUUCAACUGUGAUACUGCCAGCCUGUGUGCCGUACAACAAAUGAUAGUGGAGGAGCACUGACACGGACACUGAUUGCAUUUGGGAAAAUAAUGACGGGUGACGUAAAUAUUUUCUUAGAACAGGAUUCCUGUUAAACAAAUCUACUGUAAUUGACCCUUUAUUCCAUAUUUACGCUUUAGGAGCAAACUAAAAGAGAACAAAAAGAAAGCGUUGUCCCAUCUCAGAUAGAAGCCAGUGUCUUAUGAAGCAAGUAGCUAAAACACACCGAACAUUACAUGCUGACAGACUGCCAUUUCAGACUGAUUUUAACUUUUUCCUGCUGCAGAAAGAUUCCUCACGUCAACUCUAACUUUAAAAGUAUGAAGGCUAAAUGUUCAGACACAGCCUGAAGAGACAAGAUCAGUAUUGUGCAUUGUAUCUACCUGCAUGUGAUCUGUGUUGAAGUCAUGAGGAUGUUGUUUUCAUGAAUGCUUCAGAAUUCAGAUAGUGAAAAGCUCACUCUGCAUUGCAGAAUUGUCUCCUCCUGAAAUCCUAACCUACAGCUACUACACAUGCUCUGCAAGCAACACAGGAUCAGAAGAUUAUAGAAGCAGAAAACUACCUUUGUGUCAUUGAUCCUUUUCUUGAAGAACACAGGUACUGUGUUACCUGCCACAAUAUGGGAUGAGCAUCUAACACGGUUCUACAAUGACUCCAAUUAGCAUCCAAAUGACGUCUGUGGGUUUAUCCGGAGAAGAAAGGCAGAACUGGAGCUAUUUUCCCCCAGUUUCAUGGCACACGGAGUGCUCCCUCUGCCCAGAGCCCUGGUCAAGUAGCAUUUGAUUUUAGUUUUGAUUCAAGUUGCACUUGAAUUUAGUUGUCCUUACAAGUGAACAGAUAAGAGGGAAUCUAUUUAGAAAUUAAAAACAAGGGAAGGAGAUUCAAAAAUGCAGCAUUUUCCCAAGUAUUUCUUUUCCUUCAGCAUCUGCACAUGCACACAGAAAAUCAGUUGGAUUCAUUUAAAGUGGUAUCAGCACUUCAUCUAAAAGGCUCUUCUUCCAUUUGGAAGAUCCUUUAAUCACUGCAGUGUUUUCUAAAAGCAUUCAUUGCAAUUUCAAAAGUUGUACUAUGAAAAACACCUUCAAAAUCCUUCUGUUUCCAACUUCUUUCCAGCUUCCUUCUCUGCCAGUACAGAGAAGAUCAGGAGAUUUCUUUCAGACCAACAGAACUGCAGCCUAGAGCUGCAAUACGUUGAAGCUUUGCACUGGGAUCUUCCCUUCACCAACAAGCCUUGCCCCGGUCAGGAUAUGAUAGAACUGAUAUUCUGGCAUUGCUCAGGAUGGAACGUACUCUUCUUAACAGUAUUUGCAGGGUGAAAACCAUCAUCUGAUUAUGCAGGAUUUGGGUGUAAAGAGUACAGCAUGAUAAGCUUUACUGAAUGGUUUUUACUUACAGGCUGCACAAAAGAUGCAUCAACUCACUGCAGGAAAGUAGUAGAAUCACAGAAUCAUUAAGGUUGGAAGAGACCACUGAGAUCACAUAGUCCAACUGUCAGCCCACUCCCACCAUGCCCACUAUCCACGUCCCUCAGUGCCACAUCGACAAAGUUCUUGAGUACCUCCAGCAAAAAAAUUCUGUUGUCUUUUAAGCUCUUUGGCUUCUUUUAGUGGAAAGACAUUAAAUGGCAUUUGUGAAAAACACAUUUGCCUGGCACACUUCUUCUUCCACGUCUUGUGAAUUAUUCUACAACAGUACACUUUUGCCACAAUAUGUUCUCCAUCAGUUUCAUAAGCAACUGAACACUGUCAGUACGCAAAAUGAAAAGACAGAAGAUUUUCCAGCUGUGCUUUAUUUUGGCUAGAAUAAAGGUGCCAUUCUCUGGAUUCCCUCUUCUUAUUUUCAGAAUGGGCCUCAAGUGAAAAUAAAUCUGGGAGCUAUAGGAAUUUGUCCUUCUGAUCAUGAAAACACCAGCUCUUCCCUUUGCCCUGUGAGGAAUGCAACCAGAGAUGAGCCUUGGUUGAUUCCAGUGUGGUUGUUUAUUCUGAUAUUGUUUACCAUGUCUGUGCCCAUCCCAAAUUCAUCCUACGAAAUGUAUAAUGUGCAGCCUGGUCUAAUGGUUGGUAACCCUGCCCACGGCAGGGGGGUUGAAACCAGAUAAUUUUUGAGGUCCUUUUCAGCUCAGGGCAUUCUAUGAUUGAUUGGUUGAUAGUACUGCCAUGGUGCAAAUAAAUCCCCUAGCACAGCCGCUGCCAACACCUCAUUUCCCCAGACCUGUUUUCCCUUCUUUGUUCUUCCUUAACAUUGCCACUUCUGGAUCUGGCAAUGGCAAGACCAGAUACUUCUGCCUCGUUGCAUGUUUCAUGUUGGCAAAUGCCAUGCACUGGCUCUAUAGUUCAGUGUGAAUAGAGUGUAAUCAGACAGCUCAGCAUUGUGUGGCUUCCCACUCUCUUCCCUCCUCCACUGUCUGCAGUGUGCAGCUCACCCCAGUGUUCCCUGGGCCACAGGACAGGUACUGACAGAGAGGACUCCGAGAAUCAUUCUUUAGAUCUGGAGCAACACUCGAUGGAUGACAUCCUCUACUCAUUGGUUCCAAUUAGAGGAUGAACUGUCCUCUAUUUUCCAAAGCGUGUUAUAAUUUUGAAUGGGUUUCUCAUGGGCAGUGGGCUACCAUAGGAAAUCUCAUUUUGACAAGUACUAAUUAUGGACAAGCCAGUGGCAGACUGUAAUCUCUGUCAUGAGAGCUAUCAACAGGGAUGCAGCGAAGGCUUUAACAGUGGGUGGCAGUACUUUGGGUCAAAUUAAUCACUUCCAUAAUGACAAUGAAAUCAGUAGAGCUUUGGGAUGUUAAGUUUGAUAAAAGAAGCCAUUCUGUUCUCUGUCUGGCUAUUUACAUCACAGCCUGAGCUAAUCUUUUGUUAGGCUUUUCAGGGCUGGGGCUUCUGGGGGGAGAUGGAGGAGAGAACAAAGAACAGCCCCUCUUGCAGAAGCAAUGCUUUCAUGUCCAGAUCCGAGCUGCUGCAUGUGGAUUAAGGAAGUGUAAAGCAGACAGCCCCAGAUUUGCACAGGCAAUUAUUCCAAGGCACACAAAAAUGUAAGUGGCACUUUUGGGGAUGCAAUCUUGGAUGUGCCGAUGUGCACGGUCAGCUCUGUUUGGCCUCAGCUUUUGCCAGAGAGAUUUAAGAACAUCUCUUCCACUGCAUUCGCAUCCUUCAGCCAUGCCGUAGGGCCUGUGGUCUGAAGAACCUCACUAGCACAGGGUAUAGGCAACUGCCAGACACAGUGUGCAGAUGCAGUGAGGGGCAGAGGUGUUGGGAAGCAGCCGGGUGAGCAGAUUCUGCAUGUAAUGGUGCUACACUAAACUGUGUCAGAUUUUAACCUGAGUACAGCUAUGAGCUCACUUGCUGGGAAUGAUUCAUUCUGCUUUACUCUGCUUCAGACACAUAUUUCAUGAUUUGCUACUAAUGGCUUUUUCUGUAAAGCCAAGCCUUAGAACUUUCCUCAGUUCCCUGCAUUCAUGAGGAUGCUCCAUCAAGACCCUGGGGGACCCCAGGAAGGGCCCAUGCAGGGGCUGGGCAGGAGCUGCUACCUCCAGCAUCACCCAGUGCAUCCCACCAUGUCUAUGUGGACACAGACACAACAGGAGGCAUUGCAGCUUGUGUAGGGCACAAGCACAAAACACAUCUGCUUCUUUCUACACAGGACUCCUCCAUCCCCUCCCCUAUCCAUUAAGGGAUAUCUCCCCAUGUCCUCCGCAUCUUCUGGCAAACUAUCAAAUACUGCUGUUGAAGACAGCAGCCCAGCCUUCUGUUCAGGGCUACAAUGGACAGUUUUCAUUUCUACAUCUGUAGUCCCACACCUAAUAGGAAGAAUCAAAUGUAAAGCAAUGUCGUUCCAUCCACCUGCUUAAAACAAGAGUGGUCACAAAAACACCAAGGUCCUAAAAUCCAUAUAAAUUGCUAGCCAGUGUUCGGGAUCUAUUUUGUAACUGUGCAGAAUGAUCUGCUCUUUUAUUAGAAUGGUUAAAGGAGAUUUAGAGGGAGGAAAGAGCAUGGUGACUUCCAAGGGAAGAGUGAGUGAUUCAGUGCAAAAAGGGUAAAUUUCAUCUGCACAUUCUUAACGGCGAGGACAUUCUGCACAUCUCAGGAGUGCACUAAGUGGUGCAGUAAACCAGUAAAUUAGAAGAAUGUAAAUUCUUUAGUAGGAAUUGCACGCAAGGGAAAAAUGCUUCCUCAUGCUCAUAUUUGUUUUCAUGAAAAUAAUGUACACUCUUCCUAAAAUCAAACUGGUACAGAGCUGAGUAAGACAUCAAAACCAGUAAUAGAUAUUACACUGGACUAGGAAAUGGCAAUGACACAAUUAUCUUUCGUGUUUCUGAUGAUCACUGUGAUAAAGCGAGGAGCUGGCAUAUUCUGAGCCUGGCACAGAGCGAGGAGCAUUGUGGUUCCCUUCCCCUCUCACUCUGUCUGUCUUAUUUAUCUCUCAUUAAACUAAAUUGUAUUCUUAUUGGCUGACUGACCUCUGAUAUUGUUAUUAAUUGAUUUAUAUAGUGCCUUUUGCAAGCCUCGAGGCACUUCAGAGAAUUGCAAAUAUAUACGGGGAUCACUUCACCAGUCACCUAAGUGCAGCCACCUUUAGGGUGGAAACAGCAGCCACUGCAAUAGCACUGGAAAUCUUUUGGGUUAGCAGGGAAGGAAGACUGAUGGAGUCGACAUUUCUGCAAUCCUACUGCCCAGGAGCUGCCUUGGAAUCAGACUGGAGGUGAAGGAAAUUGUAAAGAAAAAUUACCCGUUCACGCCAAUUAUGAGUUAACAGAGUGGAUUUGAAAAUGAGUGUGAGACAUAGAAAACCAGCCUCGUGAAUUCAGUACCCACGUGAGCUGUGGGGAGGCCUGUAUUUUCUUCUCAGAGUCCUGACGGCCACAUACACCUCACAAGUAUCAUUCUCCAUGUCAGACAUUUGGAAAGCUGGCACAGAUUUCAGUCUGGACACCAUGUUUAGUAUAGGACCAAAGCAUCUCUAACAGAAGGUUGAGCAUCCAACCUUUUGGCUUUCCUGGGCCACACUGAAUGAAGAGGAACUGUCUUAGGCCUUGUGAAAAAUACAUAAUAUAGUUAAUGUACAUAAUUAACAAAGCUUAUUUUAAAAUAUUUUUUAUUAGAACAAAAGAGAGCGACACAACAUAAAACCAGUGAGAUAGGUGACCGUUUUUGUGAAAUUAACACAUCAUCCAGGUUCAGUGGUGGUGCCUGCAGAUCUUAGUGAAUUCUCAAGAUGUUUGCCAGAGAUUUUUUAUGAAAUCUUACCCUUCCUGUACUUCUUCUUUGACAGGAACCCCCAAAGGCCUCAGUGAGGGGAAGGGCAAAUUCCUUCACCUGGGGAGGAACAACCCCACACACCAUGACAUACUGUGGCUACUGAGCUGGAAAGGAUCUAGCAGUCCUGCUGGACUCCAAAUUGGACUGAGCCAGCAAUGAAGCUAAGAAACUGGAAACUAAGGCAAAUGGUGUCUUGGGCUGCAUGAGGUCAAGUGCUGACAGCAUGUCUGGGACAGAUCCUGUCCUUGUGCUCAGACCUGAGGAAGCCACGUCUGAAGUGCUGGGUCCAGAGCUGGGCUUUCCUCUGCAAGACUGACCUGGUCACAUAGGAGAGUCCAGAGGGCCAUUAAGAUGCUAAAGGACCUGGAAUACUUCUGUGCAGAGAGGCUGAGAGCUGGGACUGCUCAGCUUGAGAUGAGGAGGCUCAAGGGGAUACCAUCCAUACACCUGAAUACCUGAAGGGAGGAACAGAGAGGUUGGAGCCAGGCUCUUGCCAGAGCGCUGUACUCAGGGGCUGCCUGAGCAGGCCGUUUGGAGAAAAUGGACUCCAGAUAAGACGAACAAUUUCGUCUCCGUACCUGUAGCUGUAGGGGGGGCUGGUAUACACCUUGAACCUGGGCUACCUGUGGGGUUGAUAGAGACUUUGACCACUUAUCACUGUAAUAGUGAGGGUAGGGCACUGCGAAGAGGAAGCUUGUAGAAUCCUGCUUCACUGGAACGAGUUGCCCAGAGGCUGUGCAUUCUCGGAGAUCUUCAGAUCCGCCUGGAUGUGGACCUAGGCACUAAGUGUCCCUGACUGAGCAGGCGCUGGGCUUAGUGGCCCCUUGCUGAGUUCACGGUUCUGUGAUUCUGUGGUUCCAUGAGUGAUGAAGAGAGAAAUGCUACAGUAGGCUAACACACACAUAGAAGGUGGCCACCAAUUAUGGCUGUAUCUCGCACAAAAAGCAGCACCAACCUCCAUAAAAGGGCACUUUGUCCCAUGGCAGUACCACAUCGAUGGUCCCUUCACACAUCAGCGCUAUAUUUUCAAAUGUAGGAGAUGGCAAUCAUGUAGUGUAAGUUCUUGAGCAUUUGCAAUAAACAUUUCUAAGAUUUUUUUUCUUCAAUUAUAGAUGAAAGGCUUUGUGGGUGUUUUUGUUUUUUGUU